GUGGGGAAUUUUGGACAAUGGGCGCAAGCCUGAUCCAGCAAUGCCGCGUGCAGGAAGAAGGCCUUCGGGUUGUAAACUGCUUUUGUACGGAACGAAACGGCUCUGGUUAAUACCCGGGGCUAAUGACGGUACCGUAAGAAUAAGCACCGGCUAACUACGUGCCAGCAGCCGCGGUAAUAAGUAGGGUGCAAGCGUUAAUCGGAAUUACUGGGCGUAAAGCGUGCGCAGGCGGUUUUGUAAGACAGGCGUGAAAUCCCCGGGCUCAACCUGGGAAUUGCGCUUGUGACUGCAAGGCUGGAGUGCGGCAGAGGGGGAUGGAAUUCCGCGUGUAGCAGUGAAAUGCGUAGAUAUGCGGAGGAACACCGAUGGCGAAGGCAAUCCCCUGGGCCUGCACUGACGCUCAUGCACGAAAGCGUGGGGAGCAAACAGGAUUAGAAACCCGAGUAGUCC
This 450-nucleotide ribosomal RNA is filed under the name uncultured bacterium. Its description in RNAcentral is "partial 16S ribosomal RNA". It matches the Rfam family "Bacterial small subunit ribosomal RNA", at positions 354 to 796 of the family's 1533-position model. The record is from RNAcentral.